This 2679-nucleotide long non-coding RNA is filed under the name Callithrix jacchus (white-tufted-ear marmoset). RNAcentral describes it as "lncRNA (ENSCJAG00000081598.1)". The record is from RNAcentral. Lineage: Eukaryota; Metazoa; Chordata; Mammalia; Primates; Cebidae.
GAACUCCGAAUGGAACAACUAUCCGCACAGAAAACCACCUUCAUAAGAACGAAAAAUCAGAUGAGCAUGUGUGAGAGAGAAACAGACCCAGAGCUGGAGGCAGAGAAUGGGACACAGAAAGAGGAAACAAAGAAACCAUGGCGUCUUAAGGUAAUAAAAUUAUUUGCAAAGUUAUUGAAUAGUAAUAGUAAUAUUGCAUUUGCACAUUAUACAUUCCCUUUUCUUUCAAGUUUCAGUAUAUCUCAAUAGUCUAAGUGCAGUAUGGCUGCUAUUGCAGACAGAACUGGGGGAAACAGAGCAGGAGACAUAUGAGGAAAAAAAAUGACACGUAUGUUUGCAUGUAGAGUUCACCUUCUUCAUUCCUCUCUCCUAGUUCAGUUAGUGGGAAGAUUCUGCUGCUGUUUCUUUCGUUUAACAGCUUAUCUGCUUUGACAAAGACAAACCAACUUGGACUUGUUGUGGCCCUUCGGGAAAUAUUCUAUAUCUAGAGGUGAAAUGGAUCGAUUUUAUUAAAACUGUUGUGCAAUCUCUGCUGAAGGAAGAAAAUUAUAUUUUUCUUCACUGAAGAUUGAAGAAAAGAAAAAAUCUGAAUAAAUAUUUUAUGUUAUAUUCGAUUUUAAAAAUACAUAUGGAGAGGAUACAGAGAUUGCCUUUAAACUUCAAUUUUGGAAAUAAAUACAUAAAUUUACAUAUUCAUGGUUAGGAAUAUGAAUAAAGUUAAAAGGACUUAAUAAAUGAGUUCUUUUAUCAAUAAAUUAAGGUUUUCAUUACACUUAAUCAAAUUUUUGUGAACUCCAACAGUGUUUUUUUUACCCUGUCCUCCUUCCCUAUUUCUCCGUCUCUCCCUUCCUUCAUUUCUUCCUUUCUUCUCCUUCCUUCUUUUGAGAAGCUAAAAUAAGUGGUUUUGACAUCUGGCUUAAAAAUAUAUCCUCACAUCCUCUCCCACAAGAACCUCUCUGAUAUUUCAAGUAAAUCCUCUACAAAAGUUUUGAAGUUCUAAAACAAUCACAAAGUUUUAUUAUCUCUCAAGAUUCUCCAGGACUAUGAAAACUCAGGUAUGCCAGAAUGGCAUUGGAAAGGAACAAGAAGUGCAACUGUUAGCUUUGUUCCUCUCCAGUUAGGGUAGCUGCAUUGCUACUAUUUUUCUGCAGCAAAACCUGCUUCUCUAAGUUUUUUCCUAUCCCCUAGUCCCCAGCAUUCUGGACUGCAAAAGUAUGUGACCAUCCUAUCCACAAGUAGUACAUAUUUUUGUUAAGAAAACAGAGGAACAUGUAAUUGAUUUCUUAUUAAUGAAAAGAGGCUGUUGUCAAAAUAAGAGACAAUUUGAGAAAGAAGGGGAAAUUCAGCCUGUUGCCACAUCACUCAAGGCACGCUGUACUUGGCUUAACAAUUAAAGGGAAAUGAAUUGAAAAUGAAGACUUGUUACAUUUUCUUUUGUAGUCAAUUCUUCUUUCAACCUCUCCCAGGAAGGAGAAUGUGUUUUUCCUCCCAAACAAGGAGCAGCAGGGGUUAUCUUUUUUUGGACAAGCUAAAAUCUAUCUCCUUGUCAAAGGAGACAGACCAGGUCAAAGACGACUCUGCCUCCCAGAACAGAGAAGACUCUGCCUCCCAGUGCAGAAGCUGAGAUUCUGGUUCAUGACAAGAACCAAGGAUUCUUGGGAGGAAGCAAAAUGCCGUUUCACUUGCUGGGCCACAAACUGCAGCACUGAUUUAAAAAUUAUAUAUAUGACAUUUUUUGAGCCAUGCCAAAACCCUUUUCUCAUUUUAGUGUCUAGUGGUUAGUUUGUUUGUUAUGUGUGACAUCCUUUUUUUUCCCCUCUAAGAACCAUGAAACUAUGCAAAGAAUAGAAAGACCACAGGAUGGUCCUAUGGGGAUGUCACUGCUUGAAAAGCAAAACUGCUAGUGAAUUAACUAUGUUUUGCAGGGAUUAAGAACAGUCAACAGUCUGCAGCAGAACGAAUGUGAUUGGAAUGUUUUCAAAGGCCUUCCCCGACUCAAACAUUUUUUUUUUUAAGAAAGAGUCUCAGUUUUGUCACCCAGGCUGAGUGCAAUGGCAUCAUCUAGACUCACUGCAACCUCUGCCUCCUGGGUUCAAGCAAUUCUCCUGCCUCAGCCUCCCGAGUAGCUAGGAUUGCAGGUGCCUGCCACCAUGCCUGGUUAAUAUUUUUGUAUUUUUAGUAGAGACGGGAUUUCACCAUGUUGGCCAGGCUGGUCUCAAACUCCUGACCUCGGGCGAUUCACCCAUCUCAGCCCACACAGUGCUAGGAUUACAGGCAUAAGCCACUGCAACUGGUCAACUUUUUAUUUAAAAAAAAUUCAAACCUACAGAAAUUGCAAGUAUAGUAAAAUAAGCACUCAUAUGCCCUUUGUGUAGCUCUGUGCUAAUUGGUAGAAUAGCCACUAUCCACAUGUGGUGAUUGGCCACUUGAAAAGUGGCUAGUCCAAAUUGAAAUUUGUUAUUCUACAUGUCUUUCUAAAAUACAACUAAUUCCUAAUGUUUUCUGAAAAGUGGAUAGAUACAUUGGCCCUGAACGAAGCAAAUAAAAACUGAAUAAAUAUAAACCACAUAAAAUGAUAUCUAGAAAAUAUACAUACAUAAAGCAUAUAUAUAUGCAUAUAAAGUCUAGACCCACAGGUAUGUAUCUGUGUUUAAAAGUUCAAAAGCCAAUGGUCAGUGA